UUUCAUCACAGAGUCCCAUUU
This 21-nucleotide non-coding RNA is filed under the name Caenorhabditis elegans. Lineage: Eukaryota; Metazoa; Nematoda; Chromadorea; Rhabditida; Rhabditidae. The record is from RNAcentral.